GCCACGAUCGCAUAAUCCGGUAUUGCGCUGGCCUUGAGAGCCAGUCCCUUUGGGAUUGCCGGUUCAAAUCCGGCUCGUGGCG
RNAcentral lists this transfer RNA (82 nucleotides) under archaeon. RNAcentral's name for it is "tRNA-Ser". It matches the Rfam family "tRNA". Rfam says of the family: Transfer RNA (tRNA) molecules are approximately 80 nucleotides in length. The record is from RNAcentral.